This 425-nucleotide ribosomal RNA is filed under the name uncultured bacterium. RNAcentral describes it as "bacterial SSU rRNA". It matches the Rfam family "Bacterial small subunit ribosomal RNA", at positions 355 to 772 of the family's 1533-position model. The record is from RNAcentral.
UAGGGAAUUUUCCACAAUGGGCGGAAGCCUGACGCAGCAACGCCGCGUGGAGGAUGAAGGUCUUUGGAUUGUAAACUCCUGUCAGAGGGGAAAAAGGGACUGGGCCUAAUACGUCCGGAACUUGAUUGUACCUGCAGAGGAAGCCCCGGCUAACUCUGUGCCAGCAGCCGCGGUAAUACAGAGGGGGCAAGCGUUAUUCGGAAUUAUUGGGCGUAAAGGGCGCGUAGGCGGCCUAGCAAGUGGCGGGUGAAAUCCCUCGGCUUAACCGAGGAACUGCCUGCCAGACUGCCUGGCUCGAGACCGGGAGAGGUGAGUGGAAUUCCCAGUGUAGCGGUGAAAUGCGUAGAUAUUGGGAGGAACACCAGUGGCGAAGGCGGCUCACUGGACCGGAACUGACGCUGAGGCGCGAAAGCGUGGGGAGCAAA